CACACACUCACAGACACACACUCACACUCACAGAAACACACACACACUCACAGACACACACACUCACACACACAUACUCACACACUCACAGACACACACACACACACUCACUGACACACACACUCACAGACACAUACUCACACACUCACAGACACACACAGACACACACUCACAGACUCACACACACAUACUCACACACUCACAGACACACACUGACACA
Molecule: non-coding RNA, 220 nt
Organism: Pelobates cultripes (western spadefoot toad)
Lineage: Eukaryota; Metazoa; Chordata; Amphibia; Anura; Pelobatidae
Source: the annotation of a GenBank genome assembly